AUGGAAGUUUGGGCCCUCGAGGGAUUCGGUGUUGCUCAUAUUUUACAAGAGAUGCUUACUUAUAAAUCUGAUCAUAUUAAAGCUCGUCAAGAAGUACUUGGAACUACAAUUAGUGGAGGAACAAUACCGAAACCUGUGGAUGCUCCAGAAUCUUUUCGAUUGCUCGUUCGCGAACUACGAUCUUUGGCUCUGGAACUGAAUCAUUUCCUUGUCUCUGAGAAAGACUUUCAGAUUCAAAGGAAGGAAGUUUAA
Non-coding RNA from Vicia faba (fava bean), 252 nucleotides. NCBI's taxonomy places the organism in Eukaryota, Viridiplantae, Streptophyta, Magnoliopsida, Fabales, Fabaceae. The record is from the annotation of a GenBank genome assembly.